Molecule: ribosomal RNA, 439 nt
Filed under: uncultured bacterium
Lineage: Bacteria
Description: partial 16S ribosomal RNA
Rfam family: Bacterial small subunit ribosomal RNA
Source: RNAcentral
CUACGGGCCGCUGCAGUGAGGAAUAUUGCACAAUGGGGGGAACCCUGAUGCAGCAACGCCGCGUGGAGGAUGACGCAUUUCGGUGUGUAAACUCCUUUUAUAUGUCAAGAAAAUGACGGUAGCAUAUGAAUAAGCACCGGCUAACUCCGUGCCAGCAGCCGCGGUAAUACGGAGGGUGCAAGCGUUACUCGGAAUCACUGGGCGUAAAGGACGCGUAGGCGGGUUGGAAAGUCAGGUGUGAAAUCCUACAGCUUAACUGUAGAACUGCACUUGAAACUUCUAAUCUAGAGUAUGGGAGGGGGAGAUGGAAUUAGUGGUGUAGGGGUAAAAUCCGUAGAUAUCACUAGGAAUACCUAAAGCGAAGGCGAUCUCCUGGAACAUUACUGACGCUGAGGUGCGAAGGCGUGGGGAGCAAACAGGAUUAGAUACCCCGGUAGUC